Molecule: non-coding RNA, 911 nt
Organism: Callithrix jacchus (white-tufted-ear marmoset)
Lineage: Eukaryota; Metazoa; Chordata; Mammalia; Primates; Cebidae
Source: RefSeq, a predicted model, not a curated record
UGACUGUGUUCAAGACUGGAGUCUUCUGUGCCUGCAAACACAGCCGAAUUCAAUUACACUUCAGCUGUGUCACUAGCAGGUCAGGCUAAACUCAUGGUUCAUGGAAACAUCUGGAACUUCUUCAAGCUGGCGCUGCUUCCUCCUCCACUUCACCUGCAUGCUGAGAUUUACAGUGAUCUUGUGAAAUGUAUCCUGUGGUUUCUGGCUCAAGUGAGCAAAUCAUGUAGAAGAUAACCAGCGAAUCAAGGAUGCCCCCACCACCGGAACCCUCUCAAGGCACAUCAGCGUUCGUCCAUUCUCUUGUCCUGCUCAACAUUUUUUCUUCUUCAAGUCCCAAGUUGCUAAUUUCAUAUCAACUUUCAAAUUCCUAAAAUAGAUCUAGAAAUCUGUCUGGACAGAUCUAAGACAUAUAAAGAGUGGAUGGGCAGGACUUUGCAUUGAUUUGACAUGAGAACAGAUAGAAGAUUCAAGGAGAGCCCUAAGGUCCUAACCAGAGCUACGGGAGCUCGUGAAAGAGGAUGUUGAGCUCAGUUGUAAGGGAAUUAAAGUUGUAAGUGGCUCCUUGAAGACAUUCUUUAUAAUCAAACAUCUGAAAACUGGAACAUCGUUUUAGAGAGGUGGAGACGAGAAAAGAGAGUGUUUGUCCAAAGUUUAUACACCAAGGCUGUGGGUGAAACAGGAGCUUUGAUUUUGUGGUGUUCCAUCUACAACAUACACAAAACAAAAGAUGGAGAACAAGAAGUCCACGCAACCCAGGAAACACCAAGUUUCUGUCAAAAGCAAUAACGAACUGUUUUGUGCCAUUAACAAAAACGUUAUGAAGACAGAAACCAUCUCCCAAAGAUUUCAUAACAGAGCCACACAGUGAAGAGUAAAUGAUUAAAGAAUGUGGGUCUCAGAGUUCCAUUCAA